GACGAACGCUGGCGGCGUGCUUAACACAUGCAAGUCGAACGGAAAGGCCCUGCUUUUGUGGGGUGCUCGAGUGGCGAACGGGUGAGUAACACGUGAGUAACCUGCCCUUGACUUUGGGAUAACUUCAGGAAACUGGGGCUAAUACCGGAUAGGAGCUCCUGCUGCAUGGUGGGGGUUGGAAAGUUUCGGCGGUUGGGGAUGGACUCGCGGCUUAUCAGCUUGUUGGUGGGGUAGUGGCUUACCAAGGUUUUGACGGGUAGCCGGCCUGAGAGGGUGACCGGCCACCUUGGGACUGAGAUACGGCCCAGACUCCUACGGUCGGCAGCAGUGGGAAAUAUUGCCCAAUGGGCGGGAGCCUGAUGCAACAACGCCGCGUGCGGGAUGACGGCCUUCGGGUUGUAAACCGCUUUCGCCUGUGACGAAGCGUGAGUGACGGUAAUGGGUAAAGAAGCACCGGCUAACUACGUG
This 468-nucleotide ribosomal RNA is filed under the name uncultured bacterium. RNAcentral's name for it is "partial 16S ribosomal RNA". It matches the Rfam family "Bacterial small subunit ribosomal RNA", at positions 28 to 507 of the family's 1533-position model. The record is from RNAcentral.